This 501-nucleotide ribosomal RNA is filed under the name uncultured bacterium. RNAcentral's name for it is "partial 16S ribosomal RNA". It matches the Rfam family "Bacterial small subunit ribosomal RNA", at positions 30 to 523 of the family's 1533-position model. The record is from RNAcentral.
AUUGAACGCUGGCGGCAGGCUUAACACAUGCAAGUCGAGCGGGGGAAGGUAGCUUGCUACCGGACCUAGCGGCGGACGGGUGAGUAAUGCUUAGGAAUCUGCCUAUUAGUGGGGGACGACAUCUCGAAAGGGAUGCUAAUACCGCAUACGUCCUACGGGAGAAAGCAGGGGAUCUUCGGACCUUGCGCUAAUAGAUGAGCCUAAGUCGGAUUAGCUAGCUGGUGGGGUAAAGGCCUACCAAGGCGACGAUCUGUAGCGGGUCUGAGAGGAUGAUCCGCCACACUGGGACUGAGACACGGACAAGACUCCUACGGGAGGCAGCAGUGGGGAAUAUUGGACAAUGGGGGGAACCCUGAUCCAGCCAUGCCGCGUGUGUGAAGAAGGCCUUAUGGUUGUAAAGCACUUUAAGCGAGGAGGAGGCUACUCUAGUUAAUACCUAGGGAUAGUGGACGUUACUCGCAGAAUAAGCACCGGCUAACUCUGUGCCAGCAGCCGCCGUAA